AUUGAACGCUGGCGGCAUGCUUUACACAUGCCAGUCGAACGGUAACAGGCCUUCGGGUGCUGACGAGUGGCGAACGGGUGAGUAAUGCAUCGGAACGUACCCAGAGGUGGGGGAUAACGCAGCGAAAGCUGUGCUAAUACCGCAUGUGAUCUGAGGAUGAAAGCGGGGGACCGAGCAGCAAUGUUUGGCCUCGCGCCUUUGGAGCGGCCGAUGUCGGAUUAGCUAGUUGGUGGGGUAAAGGCCUACCAAGGCGACGAUCCGUAGCUGGUCUGAGAGGACGACCAGCCACACUGGGACUGAGACACGGCCCAGACUCCUACGGGAGGCAGCAGUGGGGAAUUUUGGACAAUGGGCGCAAGCCUGAUCCAGCAAUGCCGCGUGCGGGAAGAAGGCCUUCGGGUUGUAAACCGCUUUUGGCAGGAACGAAACGGUGUCCGCUAAUACCGGGCGCUAAUGACGGUACCUGCAGAGUAAGCACCGGCUAACUACGUG
This 492-nucleotide ribosomal RNA is filed under the name uncultured bacterium. RNAcentral describes it as "partial 16S ribosomal RNA". It matches the Rfam family "Bacterial small subunit ribosomal RNA", at positions 29 to 507 of the family's 1533-position model. The record is from RNAcentral.